CUACGUGCCAGCAGCCGCGGUAAUACGGAAGGUCCAGGCGUUAUCCGGAUUUAUUGGGUUUAAAGGGAGCGUAGGCCGCCUCUUAAGCGUGUUGUGAAAUGCGGGUGCUCAACAUCCGACUUGCAGCGCGAACUGGGGGGCUUGAGUGCGCCGAAAGUAGGCGGAAUUCGUGGUGUAGCGGUGAAAUGCUUAGAUAUCACGAAGAACUCCGAUUGCGAAGGCAGCUUACUGUAGCGCAACUGACGCUGAUGCUCGAAAGCGUGGGUAUCGAACAGGAUUAGAUACCCUGGUAGUCCACGCGGUAAACGAUGGAUGCUCGUUGUUGGCCCUUAUGGUCAGUGACCAAGCGAAAGCGUUAAGCAUCCCACCUGGGGAGUACGCCGGCAACGGUGAAACUCAAAGGAAUUGACGGGGGCCCGCACAAGCGGAGGAACAUGUGGUUUAAUUCGAUGAUACGCGAGGAACCUUACCCGGGCUUGA
This 480-nucleotide ribosomal RNA is filed under the name uncultured bacterium. Its description in RNAcentral is "bacterial SSU rRNA". It matches the Rfam family "Bacterial small subunit ribosomal RNA", at positions 501 to 984 of the family's 1533-position model. The record is from RNAcentral.